Molecule: ribosomal RNA, 401 nt
Filed under: uncultured bacterium
Lineage: Bacteria
Description: bacterial SSU rRNA
Rfam family: Bacterial small subunit ribosomal RNA
Source: RNAcentral
UGGGGAAUAUUGCACAAUGGGGGAAACCCUGAUGCAGCAACGCCGCGUGAGUGAUGACGGCCUUCGGGUUGUAAAGCUCUGUCUUCAGGGACGAUAAUGACGGUACCUGAGGAGGAAGCCACGGCUAACUACGUGCCAGCAGCCGCGGUAAUACGUAGGUGGCAAGCGUUGUCCGGAUUUACUGGGCGUAAAGGGAGCGUAUGCGGACUUUUAAGUGAGAUGUGAAAUACCCGGGCUCAACCUGGGUGCUGCAUUUCAAACUGGAAGUCUAGAGUGCAGGAGAGGAGAGUGGAAUUCCUAGUGUAGCGGUGAAAUGCGUAGAGAUUAGGAAGAACACCAGUGGCGAAGGCGACUCUCUGGACUGUAACUGACGCUGAGGCUCGAAAGCGUGGGGAGCAAAC